This 85-nucleotide transfer RNA is filed under the name Patescibacteria group bacterium. RNAcentral describes it as "tRNA-Tyr". The record is from RNAcentral.
GGGUGCGUAGACCCGUAGGGGGCGGGAGCAGUCUGUAAAACUGUCGUCCGAAAGGGCCCCGUCAGUUCGACUCUGACCGCACCCA